Molecule: ribosomal RNA, 378 nt
Filed under: Triticum aestivum (bread wheat)
Lineage: Eukaryota; Viridiplantae; Streptophyta; Magnoliopsida; Poales; Poaceae
Description: partial small subunit ribosomal RNA
Source: RNAcentral
AUGUGCUUGCAUAUGAAAACUGACAACACAAAUGUCUACACACUGUAUGCUGUUCAGAGGAUACAGGUGUCGUCAGCAUGUAGUUGCCCAACCAGUGCCUCUCGGACUUGUUUUCAUCGUCUGACACAUCAGCAAUAUCUCUGGCCACCGAAGGAGAGUGCAAAUAAGAACCAUAAUAUGCAGAGGUGGAGAAAGAAACAAAAUAUUUUGAUGCGCCAAGUAAACAAUCUAAAGUAUUUCUUGCAGGGUUCAAAUGAUGAACAUAAGUCUUUGAAUACCGGCCACUGCUUCUUCAAGGUCUUGGGUUUCAACAAUAUUGUAGAAACUAGUGAAGUACAUAUACUAGCAGGUGCAAAUAUUUGUUUCCUAAGUGUUUGA